Molecule: ribosomal RNA, 500 nt
Filed under: uncultured bacterium
Lineage: Bacteria
Description: partial 16S ribosomal RNA
Rfam family: Bacterial small subunit ribosomal RNA
Source: RNAcentral
AUUGAACGCUGGCGGCAGGCCUAACACAUGCAAGUCGAGCGGAUGAGAGGAGCUUGCUCCUCGAUUCAGCGGCGGACGGGUGAGUAAUGCCUAGGAAUCUGCCCAGUAGUGGGGGACAACGUUUCGAAAGGAACGCUAAUACCGCAUACGUCCUACGGGAGAAAGUGGGGGAUCUUCGGACCUCACGCUAUUGGAUGAGCCUAGGUCGGAUUAGCUAGUUGGUAGGGUAAAGGCCUACCAAGGCGACGAUCCGUAACUGGUCUGAGAGGAUGAUCAGUCACACGGGAACUGAGACACGGCCCAGACCCCUACGGGAGGCAGCAGUGGGGAAUAUUGGACAAGGGGCGCAAGCCUGAUCCAGCCAUGCCGCGUGUGUGAAGAAGGCCCUCGGGUCGUAAAGCACUUUAAGUUGGGAGGAAGGGCUUACAGCGAAUACCUGUGAGUUUUGACGUUACCGACAGAAUAAGCACCGGCUAACUUCGUGCCAGCCGCCGCAGUAA